AUGGGAAUGAUAUGGCAGGAGUUUGAGUCCGCCGUCUCGCGGAUGCAUCACCGACGAGGUCGGCUCAGUCUACUGACAGAGUCAAUCCAGAGUCACAUGGGAGGAAAAAAAGGUUAUGGCUGGGCAGUGAGCCAGCAGAUGACGAUGGACUCUAAAGUCAUGGGCUAUGGACUUGAUUGGCUAAAGAAGUUCAUGUUCCCGGUGCAUUUCAUGGAUUGCUGGUCAUUAUAUAUCCUGGAUACCGAUAAGAAGAUUGUGAUGGUGCUUGACCCAACGGAGACAAAUUUGUCGGAUGAGAUGAAAAUCAAACAUGGGCCUCUAGCAAGGAAGUUUCAGCAGAAGUUAUGCACCUAUUCAGUGACAUGUUCAGAGUCGGUUUGGUUGGGACCACUGGAUGGUCGUUUGUGUACCCUUUGGUGGCGCGGCACAAGCCAUGCAGUAGGGAAGACAAUGGCGUAUAUGUCGCUCACUACGUCCUAG
Molecule: ribosomal RNA, 480 nt
Filed under: Triticum aestivum (bread wheat)
Lineage: Eukaryota; Viridiplantae; Streptophyta; Magnoliopsida; Poales; Poaceae
Description: partial small subunit ribosomal RNA
Source: RNAcentral